CUGCUGCCUUCCGUAGGAGUUUGGGCCGUGUCUCAGUCCCAAUGUGGCCGUUCACCCUCUCAGGCCGGCUACUGAUCGUUGCCUUGGUAGGCCAUUACCCCACCAACUAGCUAAUCAGACGCGGAACCAUCGUAUACCACCAGAGUUUUUCACACCGCUUCAUGCGAAGCUGUGCGCUUAUGCGGUAUUAGCACCUAUUUCUAAGUUGUUAUCCCCCAGUAUACGGCAGGUUUUCCACGCGUUACUCACCCGUCCGCCAA
Molecule: ribosomal RNA, 260 nt
Filed under: uncultured bacterium
Lineage: Bacteria
Description: partial 16S ribosomal RNA
Source: RNAcentral